Long non-coding RNA from Sorghum bicolor (sorghum), 936 nucleotides. RefSeq lists it as uncharacterized. NCBI's taxonomy places the organism in Eukaryota, Viridiplantae, Streptophyta, Magnoliopsida, Poales, Poaceae. The transcript has 2 exons. The record is from RefSeq and is a predicted model, not a curated record.
GGUGCAGCACCCCAACACGUCAAACUCUCUCGGAAAGUCUCCCCCUCCCCCACCUGCAGUCGACGGUUUGGCAGCAAGGCGACCAAUCAGCCGAGAUUUACAUGACCUUCCAUGGAUGAUGAUGAUGGAUGUGGUCCUCGGCGAACCAUCUUGUUUGGAUUCUCUCCCAGAGUCGACGCGACGUUAGCGCAGUUGCACAACGCGGAUUUCCGGGCGUCGUGGCUGCCUGCCCGGUGCGCGCACGGAGGCUGUUCGACGGAACGCCUCAUCGACGGCGCGUCUGGGUAUCUUGUGAUUUGCGACGUAUCCAGGGGCCAGGGCGCAGCACCAGCACGAUGCGGCCGGACGUUUCCGAAGUGCUCGCCACAGAAUGGCGAAAUGGCUGAGGGAAGUGGACGCGGAAGAGGUCACGACGACUGCCUUGUGCACCCAUCGUUUUCAAGGGAAAACUUAUGCUGGGAGCUCACUUCCAUCAUCAAAAAGAUUCAGAGGGCUCCAUUUACAAAUAUUGGAGGAAUUGGAGAAGGGUUUUGAAAAAACCAAAAGAAAAGACUUCGAUGGAAUACUAAUCUAGUUUGGUGGAAUUUGUGGAAAAAAAAAGAAACAGAAGAACUCUUCAGCAAAAAAGCCUACAGCCGAUUGAGGUAGCAUAUCUUAUGAAGGAAGAAGUUGAGCAGCAACGCAUAGCUUUGGCAAAUGCCCGGAAUGGAGGAUGAAGUUUUGCAGGAUUAUGAGUUUGUAGUUUUUGAGCCGACUCCCUUUUUCUCUUUUCAGUUUGUAAGUUUUAGUCUUGCCGCCCCAAUGGGCUGUGUUCUCGGCUUUUUCUUCCUUCUUCAUUUUUUUUUGAGAGAACAGGAGAGGUCAAGGAGACCACUACUGAAAUUUAUUGAAGAAAAAUAAUUCAUUUUUGCAGUUUAGUUUUGCUGCUCCGAUGUA